This 394-nucleotide ribosomal RNA is filed under the name uncultured bacterium. RNAcentral's name for it is "bacterial SSU rRNA". It matches the Rfam family "Bacterial small subunit ribosomal RNA", at positions 376 to 783 of the family's 1533-position model. The record is from RNAcentral.
CGAAUAGCCUGACGGAGCAAGACCGCGUGAGGGAAGAAGGCUCUUGGGUUGUAAACCUCUUUUGUCAGGGAAGAACACAAUGACGGUACCUGACGAAUCAGCCUCGGCUAACUCCGUGCCAGCAGCCGCGGUAAUACGGAGGAGGCAAGCGUUAUCCGGAAUUAUUGGGCGUAAAGCGUCCGCAGGUGGCUUAUCAAGUCUGCCGUCAAAGACCGGGGCUUAACCCUGGAAAGGCGGUGGAAACUGACAAGCUAGAGUGUCGUAGGGGUAGAGGGAAUUCCCGGUGUAGCGGUGAAAUGCGUAGAGCUCGGGAAGAACAUCGGUGGCGAAAGCGCUCUACUGGACGGCAACUGACACUCAGGGACGAAAGCUAGGGGAGCGAAUGGGAUUAGAU